CAAUUGGACCUGAUAUCAGGCAAGAUUACCCGCUGAACUUAAGCAUAU
Molecule: ribosomal RNA, 48 nt
Filed under: Phytophthora plurivora
Lineage: Eukaryota; Oomycota; Peronosporomycetes; Peronosporales; Peronosporaceae
Description: partial 28S ribosomal RNA
Source: RNAcentral